This 473-nucleotide ribosomal RNA is filed under the name uncultured Sphingobacteriales bacterium. Its description in RNAcentral is "bacterial SSU rRNA". It matches the Rfam family "Bacterial small subunit ribosomal RNA", at positions 907 to 1382 of the family's 1533-position model. The record is from RNAcentral. Lineage: Bacteria; Pseudomonadati; Bacteroidota; Sphingobacteriia; Sphingobacteriales.
GAAUUGACGGGGCCCGCACAAGCGGAGGAGCAUGUGGUUUAAUUCGAUGAUACGCGAGGAACCUUACCUGGGCUCGAACGUAAGAUGACUGUAGGUGAAAGCUUACAUCUCUUCGGAGCAUUUUACGAGGUGCUGCAUGGUUGUCGUCAGCUCGUGCCGUGAGGUGUCGAGUUAAGUCCCAUAACGAGCGCAACCCCUACCUUAGUUGCCAUCAGGUUAAGCUGGGGACUCUAAAGGAACUGCCUACGCAAGUAGUGAGGAAGGCGGGGAUGACGUCAAAUCAGCACGGCCCUUACGUCCAGGGCUACACACGUGCUACAAUGGCCGAUACAGAGGGCAGCUACCUGGUGACAGGAUGCAAAUCUCCAAAGUCGGUCUCAGUUCGGAUCGGAGUCUGCAACCCGACUCCGUGAAGUUGGAUUCGCUAGUAAUCGCGCAUCAGCCAUGGCGCGGUGAAUACGUUCCCGGGCCUU